RNAcentral lists this ribosomal RNA (111 nucleotides) under Eutreptiella gymnastica. RNAcentral describes it as "partial Trypanosomatid mitochondrial large subunit ribosomal RNA". Lineage: Eukaryota; Euglenozoa; Euglenophyceae; Eutreptiales; Eutreptiaceae. The record is from RNAcentral.
ACUUUCCAAUUAAAAGAUUUUCCAAUAAAAAUUUGUUUCCAAUAAAAAAAAUUCCAAUAAAAGAUUUUCCAUAAAUUUUUUCCAAAUUUUUUUAAUUGGAAAAAUUCUGCC